This 74-nucleotide transfer RNA is filed under the name Ptychanthus striatus. RNAcentral's name for it is "tRNA-Arg". It matches the Rfam family "tRNA". Rfam says of the family: Transfer RNA (tRNA) molecules are approximately 80 nucleotides in length. The record is from RNAcentral. RNAcentral also lists the same sequence under 6 other names. Lineage: Eukaryota; Viridiplantae; Streptophyta; Jungermanniopsida; Porellales; Lejeuneaceae.
GGGUUUGUAGCUCAGCGGAUUAGAGUUCAUGAUUCCGAAACAUGAGGUCAAGGGUUCGAGUCCCUUCUAACCCU